GCCCCUGUGGCCAAAUGGAUAAGGCAUCGGUCUCCUAAACCGGGGAUUGUGGGUUCGAGUCCCACCAGGGGUA
RNAcentral lists this transfer RNA (73 nucleotides) under Blattella germanica (German cockroach). RNAcentral describes it as "tRNA-Arg (CCT) (tRNA-Arg-CCT-3-1)". It matches the Rfam family "tRNA". From Rfam's summary of the family: Transfer RNA (tRNA) molecules are approximately 80 nucleotides in length. The record is from RNAcentral. Lineage: Eukaryota; Metazoa; Arthropoda; Insecta; Blattodea; Blattellidae.